RNAcentral lists this RNase P RNA (337 nucleotides) under Candidatus Kaiserbacteria bacterium RIFCSPLOWO2_01_FULL_54_20. Its description in RNAcentral is "RNase P RNA component class A". It matches the Rfam family "Bacterial RNase P class A". From Rfam's summary of the family: Ribonuclease P (RNase P) is a ubiquitous endoribonuclease, found in archaea, bacteria and eukarya as well as chloroplasts and mitochondria. Its best characterised activity is the generation of mature 5'-ends of tRNAs by cleaving the 5'-leader elements of precursor-tRNAs. Lineage: Bacteria; Candidatus Kaiseribacteriota. The record is from RNAcentral.
UGCGUUAGGCAGUCGCCCGACACACUUACAAGUGUGACGGGAGGAAAGUCCGGACACGCCCGUCGCAAGAUGGAGAACGGUAGCGGGUAACGCCCGCCGUGCGUAAGCAUAGGGAUGCGAACAGAGACGCCCGAGUCGAGAGGCGAGGGGACCCGAAAGGGUCAGCUCCGAUGGAAACAUCGGAGGUGCAACGGCAAAAAUCCUACCUGCGUGCAAGGCCGUGCUCUGUGGGAUACACCAAUUGGAUAUCUCACGGAGAGAGCCGCUUGAGGUGAAUGGUGACAUUCAUCCCAGAUAAAUGAUUGUCCUCGACAGAAUCCGGCUUAUGACGCAACGA